UCGCGGAUCAGCAUGCCGCGGUGAAUACGUUCCCUGGCCUUGUACACACCGCCCGGUCACACCAUGGGAGCCGGUAAUACCCGAAGUCAGUAGCCUAACCGCAAGGGGGCGCUGCCGAAGGUAGGAUUGGCGACUGGGGUGAAGUCGUAACAAGGUACC
Molecule: ribosomal RNA, 159 nt
Filed under: uncultured bacterium
Lineage: Bacteria
Description: partial 16S ribosomal RNA
Rfam family: Bacterial small subunit ribosomal RNA
Source: RNAcentral